CGCACAAGCGGUGGAGCAUGUGGUUUAAUUCGAUGCAACGCGAAGAACCUUACCUGGUCUUGACAUCCACAGAACUUGCCAGAGAUGGCUUGGUGCCUUCGGGAACUGUGAGACAGGUGCUGCAUGGCUGUCGUCAGCUCGUGUUGUGAAAUGUUGGGUUAAGUCCCGCAACGAGCGCAACCCUUAUCCUUUGUUGCCAGCGGUCCGGCCGGGAACUCAAAGGAGACUGCCAGUGAUAAACUGGAGGAAGGUGGGGAUGACGUCAAGUCAUCAUGGCCCUUACGACCAGGGCUACACACGUGCUACAAUGGCAUAUACAAAGAGAAGCGACCUCGCGAGAGCAAGCGGACCUCAUAAAGUAUGUCGUAGUCCGGAUUGGAGUCUGCAACUCGACUCCAUGAAGUCGGAAUCGCUAGUAAUCGUAGAUCAGAAUGCUACGGUGAAUACGUUCCCGGGCCUUGUACACACCGCCCGUCACACCAUGGGAGUGGGUUGCAAAAGAAGUAGGUAGCUUAACCUUCGGGAGGGCGCUUACCACUUUGUGAUUCAUGACUGGGGUGAAGUCGUAACAAGGUAACCGUAGGGGAACCUGCGGUUGGAUCACCUCCUUA
Molecule: ribosomal RNA, 611 nt
Filed under: Klebsiella quasipneumoniae subsp. similipneumoniae
Lineage: Bacteria; Pseudomonadati; Pseudomonadota; Gammaproteobacteria; Enterobacterales; Enterobacteriaceae
Also listed under: 1 other name
Description: bacterial SSU rRNA
Rfam family: Bacterial small subunit ribosomal RNA
Source: RNAcentral